GACGCAGCGACGCCGCGUGGGUGACGAAGGCCUUCGGGUUGUAAAGCCCUGUGGGGUAGAACGAACUGGCAUCGGGCUAAUAUCCCGGUGUCUUGACGGUACUGCCUUAGCAAGCAUCGGCUAACUCUGUGCCAGCAGCCGCGGUAAGACAGAGGAUGCGAACGUUGCUCGGAUUUUACUGGGCGUAAAGCGCGUGUAGGCGGUCUCGUUAGUCGGGUGUGAAAGCCCCGGGCUCAACCCGGGAAGUGCACCCGAUACUGCGAGACUGGGGUACUGAAGAGGAGAGCGGAAUUCCCGGUGUAGAGGUGAAAUUCGUAGAUAUCGGGAGGAACACCAGUGGCGAAGGCGGCUCUCUGGGCAGAUACCGACGCUGAGACGCGAAAGCGUGGGGAGCAAACAGGAUUAGAUACCCUGGUAGUCCACGCUGUAAACGAUGACGACUGGGUGUUGCAGGUAUUGACCCCUGCGGUGCCGAAGCCAACGCGUUAAGUCGUCCGCCUGGGAAGUACGGCCGCAAGGCUAAAAACUCAAAGGAAUUGACGGGGG
This 546-nucleotide ribosomal RNA is filed under the name uncultured bacterium. RNAcentral describes it as "bacterial SSU rRNA". It matches the Rfam family "Bacterial small subunit ribosomal RNA", at positions 385 to 919 of the family's 1533-position model. The record is from RNAcentral.